CCUGGCUCACGAUGAACGCUAGCUACAGGCUUAACACAUGCAAGUCGAGGGGCAGCAUGGUCUUAGCUUGCUAAGGCCGAUGGCGACCGGCGCACGGGUGAGUAACACGUAUCCAACCUGCCGUCUACUCUUGGACAGCCUUCUGAAAGGAAGAUUAAUACAAGAUGGCAUCAUGAGUCCGCAUGUUCACAUGAUUAAAGGUAUUCCGGUAGACGAUGGGGAUGCGUUCCAUUAGAUAGUAGGCGGGGUAACGGCCCACCUAGUCUUCGAUGGAUAGGGGUUCUGAGAGGAAGGUCCCCCACAUUGGAACUGAGACACGGUCCAAACUCCUACGGGAGGCAGCAGUGAGGAAUAUUGGUCAAUGGGCGAGAGCCUGAACCAGCCAAGUAGCGUGAAGGAUGACUGCCCUAUGGGUUGUAAACUUCUUUUAUAAAGGAAUAAAGUCGGGUAUGGAUACCCGUUUGCAUGUACUUUAUGAAUAAGGAUCGGCUAACUCCGUGCCAGCAGCCGCGGUAAUACGGAGGAUCCGAGCGUUAUCCGGAUUUAUUGGGUUUAAAGGGAGCGUAGAUGGAUGUUUAAGUCAGUUGUGAAAGUUUGCGGCUCAACCGUAAAAUUGCAGUUGAUACUGGAUAUCUUGAGUGCAGUUGAGGCAGGCGGAAUUCGUGGUGUAGCGGUGAAAUGCUUAGAUAUCACGAAGAACUCCGAUUGCGAAGGCAGCCUGCUAAGCUGCAACUGACAUUGAGGCUCGAAAGUGUGGGUAUCAAACAGGAUUAGAUACCCUGGUAGUCCACACGGUAAACGAUGAAUACUCGCUGUUUGCGAUAUACUGCAAGCGGCCAAGCGAAAGCGUUAAGUAUUCCACCUGGGGAGUACGCCGGCAACGGUGAAACUCAAAGGAAUUGACGGGGGCCCGCACAAGCGGAGGAACAUGUGGUUUAAUUCGAUGAUACGCGAGGAACCUUACCCGGGCUUAAAUUGCAGAUGAAUUACGGUGAAAGCCGUAAGCCGCAAGGCAUCUGUGAAGGUGCUGCAUGGUUGUCGUCAGCUCGUGCCGUGAGGUGUCGGCUUAAGUGCCAUAACGAGCGCAACCCUUGUUGUCAGUUACUAACAGGUUCCGCUGAGGACUCUGACAAGACUGCCAUCGUAAGAUGUGAGGAAGGUGGGGAUGACGUCAAAUCAGCACGGCCCUUACGUCCGGGGCUACACACGUGUUACAAUGGGGGGUACAGAGGGCCGCUACCACGCGAGUGGAUGCCAAUCCCCAAAACCUCUCUCAGUUCGGACUGGAGUCUGCAACCCGACUCCACGAAGCUGGAUUCGCUAGUAAUCGCGCAUCAGCCACGGCGCGGUGAAUACGUUCCCGGGCCU
This 1368-nucleotide ribosomal RNA is filed under the name uncultured bacterium. RNAcentral describes it as "bacterial SSU rRNA". It matches the Rfam family "Bacterial small subunit ribosomal RNA", at positions 18 to 1381 of the family's 1533-position model. The record is from RNAcentral.